This 253-nucleotide ribosomal RNA is filed under the name uncultured bacterium. RNAcentral describes it as "partial 16S ribosomal RNA". It matches the Rfam family "Bacterial small subunit ribosomal RNA", at positions 524 to 776 of the family's 1533-position model. The record is from RNAcentral.
UACGUAGGGGGCAAGCGUUGUCCGGAAUCAUUGGGCGUAAGGAGCGCGUAGGCGGUCCGGUAAGUCCGCUCUGAAAGUCCGGGGCUCAACCCCGGGAGGCGGGCGGAUACUGUCGGGCUAGAGUCCGGAAGAGGCGAGUGGAAUUCCUGGUGUAGCGGUGAAAUGCGCAGAUAUCAGGGGGAACACCAAUGGCGAAGGCAGCUCGCUGGGACGGUACUGACGCUGAGGCGCGAAAGCGUGGGGAGCAAACAGG